Molecule: ribosomal RNA, 484 nt
Filed under: uncultured bacterium
Lineage: Bacteria
Description: partial 16S ribosomal RNA
Rfam family: Bacterial small subunit ribosomal RNA
Source: RNAcentral
AUUGAACGCUGGCGGCAUGCUUUACACAUGCAAGUCGAACGGCAGCGCGGGCUUCGGCCUGGCGGCGAGUGGCGAACGGGUGAGUAAUGCAUCGGAACGUGCCCAGUAGUGGGGGAUAGCCCGGCGAAAGCCGGAUUAAUACCGCAUACGACCUGAGGGUGAAAGCGGGGGACCGAAAGGCCUCGCGCUAUUGGAGCGGCCGAUGUCGGAUUAGCUAGUUGGUGGGGUAAAGGCUUACCAAGGCGACGAUCCGUAGCUGGUCUGAGAGGACGACCAGCCACACUGGGAGUGAGACACGGCCCAGACUCCUACGGGAGGCAGCAGUGGGGAAUUUUGGACAAUGGGGGCAACCCUGAUCCAGCCAUGCCGCGUGCGGGAAGAAGGCCUUCGGGUUGUAAACCGCUUUUGUUCGGGAAGAAAUCCUCUGGGCUAAUACCCCGGGGGGAUGACGGUACCGGAAGAAUAAGCACCGGCUAACUACGUG